CUGCUCACAACAUGUGUAAAAUUAUUAGUGCAGGCAGAGCCGAUCCAGACCUCCCUGGGGCCCUAAGCAAAAUUCUCCUCGUACCUGACCUGUCAGCCAUGUAAACCAUUUGCCACACAUUCACACUUGACAGAAUCUCCUCUACUAACAAAUUUCAGCAUAGCACCUGUAAGUUAUAGAUAACUACUAUUAUUCAUUUUAUAAGCUGCAUUAGGCCCCACUUAAACUGCCUCCCUCAGAUUCCUUUUAAUCCAUGCAUGUCCAUUUUCAAAUAUAAAAUACUAUUUAUAUUAUGACUUUGCUCUUGCAAUAUUCAACUAGUGAAUAUGCAAUAGCAGAUAGCAGAAAUUAUUUUUACUAGUGUAAAAUGUAAUUCCUGAUAUCAAAAAUAUGGUUACUACUAGAAAUCACACUCUUAAUAUUUACAUUUUAAGUAUUGAAAACUGAAUUCUUGAUAUCAAAAAUCCAUAUCAUGUGAAUGUAUAAAAGCUGAAAUGGCUUGCCAUGCCGUAUCACUGUGUUCUAUAGUAUGCAUGAGAGCAAUACUUGAUCCCUGAUGGUUAUUAUUUACUGAGGGAUGUGCAUUCAUAUUGACCUGGUAUUAUGCCCAUUCCAGUGUAAAUCCAUUGGUUUCCAUAUUGCAUUAACGUUGUUGUAAACGUGAUAGAGAGACUAUAAACAUUGUCAUUUAGGAGCGCUAUCACGCUACAUUUUGUACUGGUCCCCACACAGAUGUUGCUGCUGGAAAGUGCGGUUAUCGAGCUGCCAUUUAUAAACACUGUUGCCAUAAAAAAAGACUGUUGCCCUUGGGCAUUUAUUCUCACGAAUGUUCACGCAAUAAAUUGUUGUGUGACAGACAGACAGGCCAAGAGAUGCACUGGCAGCACUGCACAGCUAAUUUAGCUAGUCAGAUAGAGACUAGAGAGAGAAUCACAUCAACUAACUUUACUGUUACAGUAUUUGCUCUUGCUGACAUCAAACUUGAAGAGAACAAAUGUUUACCUGAUUGCUGUUCUGACAUUUCACUCUCAUUUUGUUUUGUUUUUUUUCACUUUUAAUGGCCAGAUGGAUAACUCCGCAUCAUAUUGUCACAUCUACACAGCAGGGGCAAUUCUAGGGUCAGAGCUUUAGGGGUGCUGAGCUCCUUUGUAGGGUUGCUGAAGCUAAGGAUAUGAUCAAAAGGCACACCGAGGCAUGUCAUUUUAAAUGUCAGAGAGAUAGAACAAGAGAGAGAGAGAGAGAGAGAGAGAGAGAGAGAGAGAGAGAGAGAGAGAGAGAGAGAGAGUAAGCCUGGUUCAGGUUAAAUCCUCUGUGUGUGAGGAAUGAAUAAAUAAAGCAAAAGAAAAACAUUAAACUUUCUUUUAUUGUCUAGUUUGAUAGUCAGCCACAAGUGAAAAAUAACAGAUCUAAAUCUAGGAAUGAAUAACAAUUCAUUUAAAAAGCCACAGUGAGUGUUUUCACACAUACUGCUGGUAUACAGUGAUAUGGCGUUUGUUUACACUCUGGUCCAAACGCCAGGGCUUCAUGUUUCCAUGACGACUGACCAGAAAAGACGCACGUGACGUCAUGUUUACAUGACUCCCGAUUGUUAAAAUGCGUAUCAAAUUAACGAUAAACUUUACCAACAGAGACACACGUACGCACUACACAGGUUCAGAAAGUUCUAAUUCAUGGAUCUUCUGGGUGGUUGUUGUGGUGACAGCUGGACUGAUUUUGGCUGUUGUGAUUUUCAGCAGGAGACACGUCCACACUGAGCCGCUCAUGGAGGACGAUUCAGACAUCUACACCACAGUACAGUACGAUACAUUCACCAUGAACUGAUCACACCUUCACACCUCACCUACUUCAGUACACACUUCUGUAUGUGAACUUCACCUGAGAGCAAAAAGCUAAAGGAUCUGAGCUCCUUAUUUCUCUAGAGAGAUUUCACAAAGUCAUAAUGAAUUAAUAAACCAAGUGUGUUUGUGUGUAUGUGUGUGUUGGUUUGUGUGUGUGUGUGUGUGUGUGUGUGUGUGUGUGUGUGUGUGUGUGUGUGUGUGUGUGUAUGU
Molecule: long non-coding RNA, 2048 nt
Organism: Tachysurus fulvidraco (yellow catfish)
Lineage: Eukaryota; Metazoa; Chordata; Actinopteri; Siluriformes; Bagridae
Exons: 3
Source: RefSeq, a predicted model, not a curated record